CCUACGGGAGGCUGCAGUGGGGAAUAUUGGACAAUGGGCGAAAGCCUGAUCCAGCCAUGCCGCGUGUGUGAAGAAGGCCUUCGGGUUGUAAAGCACUUUCAGUGGGGAAGAAAGCCUUGGGGCUAAUACCCUCGAGGAAGGACAUCACCCACAGAAGAAGCACCGGCUAACUCCGUGCCAGCAGCCGCGGUAAUACGGAGGGUGCGAGCGUUAAUCGGAAUUACUGGGCGUAAAGCGCGCGUAGGCGGUCUGAUAAGCCGGUUGUGAAAGCCCCGGGCUCAACCUGGGAACGGCAUCCGGAACUGUCAGGCUAGAGUGCAGGAGAGGAAGGUAGAAUUCCCGGUGUAGCGGUGAAAUGCGUAGAGAUCGGGAGGAAUACCAGUGGCGAAGGCGGCCUUCUGGACUGACACUGACGCUGAGGUGCGAAAGCGUGGGUAGCAAACAGGAUUAGAUACCCUUGUAGAC
Molecule: ribosomal RNA, 465 nt
Filed under: Vreelandella stevensii
Lineage: Bacteria; Pseudomonadati; Pseudomonadota; Gammaproteobacteria; Oceanospirillales; Halomonadaceae
Description: partial 16S ribosomal RNA
Rfam family: Bacterial small subunit ribosomal RNA
Source: RNAcentral